Molecule: ribosomal RNA, 677 nt
Filed under: Salmonella enterica subsp. enterica serovar Bovismorbificans
Lineage: Bacteria; Pseudomonadati; Pseudomonadota; Gammaproteobacteria; Enterobacterales; Enterobacteriaceae
Description: bacterial SSU rRNA
Rfam family: Bacterial small subunit ribosomal RNA
Source: RNAcentral
AGACCGCCUGGGGAGUACGGCCGCAAGGUUAAAACUCAAAUGAAUUGACGGGGGCCCGCACAAGCGGUGGAGCAUGUGGUUUAAUUCGAUGCAACGCGAAGAACCUUACCUGGUCUUGACAUCCACAGAACUUUCCAGAGAUGGAUUGGUGCCUUCGGGAACUGUGAGACAGGUGCUGCAUGGCUGUCGUCAGCUCGUGUUGUGAAAUGUUGGGUUAAGUCCCGCAACGAGCGCAACCCUUAUCCUUUGUUGCCAGCGGUUAGGCCGGGAACUCAAAGGAGACUGCCAGUGAUAAACUGGAGGAAGGUGGGGAUGACGUCAAGUCAUCAUGGCCCUUACGACCAGGGCUACACACGUGCUACAAUGGCGCAUACAAAGAGAAGCGACCUCGCGAGAGCAAGCGGACCUCAUAAAGUGCGUCGUAGUCCGGAUUGGAGUCUGCAACUCGACUCCAUGAAGUCGGAAUCGCUAGUAAUCGUGGAUCAGAAUGCCACGGUGAAUACGUUCCCGGGCCUUGUACACACCGCCCGUCACACCAUGGGAGUGGGUUGCAAAAGAAGUAGGUAGCUUAACCUUCGGGAGGGCGCUUACCACUUUGUGAUUCAUGACUGGGGUGAAGUCGUAACAAGGUAACCGUAGGGGAACCUGCGGUUGGAUCACCUCCUUACCUUAAAGAA